This 253-nucleotide ribosomal RNA is filed under the name uncultured bacterium. RNAcentral's name for it is "partial 16S ribosomal RNA". It matches the Rfam family "Bacterial small subunit ribosomal RNA", at positions 524 to 776 of the family's 1533-position model. The record is from RNAcentral.
UACAGAGGUUGCAAGCGUUAAUCGGAUUUACUGGGCGUAAAGGGUGUGUAGGUGGUUUGGCAAGUCGGUUGUGAAAUCCCCGGGCUUAACCUGGGAAUUGCUUCCGAUACUGCCAGACUAGAGUACGGUAGAGGGCGGUGGAAUUUCCGGUGUAGCGGUGAAAUGCGUAGAUAUCGGAAGGAACACCAAUGGCGAAGGCAGCCGCCUGGGCCUGUACUGACACUGAGACACGAAAGCGUGGGGAUCAAACAGG